UAGGGAAUCUUCCACAAUGGACGCAAGUCUGAUGGAGCAACGCCGCGUGAGUGAAGAAGGUCUUCGGAUCGUAAAACUCUGUUGUUAGAGAAGAACACGAGUGAGAGUAACUGUUCAUUCGAUGACGGUAUCUAAACCAGCAAGUCACGGCUAACUACGUGCCAG
RNAcentral lists this ribosomal RNA (165 nucleotides) under uncultured bacterium. RNAcentral's name for it is "partial 16S rRNA". It matches the Rfam family "Bacterial small subunit ribosomal RNA", at positions 355 to 511 of the family's 1533-position model. The record is from RNAcentral.